AUGGCGUUUGGGUCAAAACGUAAGUUAGCAGAUCGGAGUGACAUCCAGGAGGAUGACGGUGAUGAUGUUGAUCUCAUCAAUUCCGAUGAUGAGCGUAAUAGCGUUGAUGAACAAGAUGAAUCUGCCGAGCAUGGUACUGCAAAACCUGCUAAAUCCCUUCUAGAUGAGGUAUUUUUUCUUGAUGCACCUAAAGGGAAGAACUCUGGUGGAUCAAGACCCUGGCGAUGCAAACAUUGUGAUAAGAAGUACACGAGUAGUUAUACAAGAAUUCAUCAGCACUUCUUUGGUGUUGGUCCUGGCAAGACGAAACAAAUUCCUCGCUGCUCUGUCGCAAGUGAUCGCGUCAAGUAUAAGAAAAUAUAUGAUAAGUACUACCAACCUGAGAAAGUACAAGCUUCAGGCUCGGCGCCUAAAAAGCAAUUAGUAGAAGCUUUUGCUGGGGUGGAAAGAGAUGCAGUGGACAUGCAAAUAAUGUUGUUCCUUUGUGCUAAUGGAAUUCCCUUUAAUGUGUUGAGAAGUCCUCAAUACUAUGAAAUGGUAGCAGCCAUCCAGAGAGCACCAAAGGGAUACAAACCUCCUGCAUAUGAGAAGGCUAGGACUACUCUUCUAGAUGCAUGUAAGAGAAAGGUGGAGAAUGAUUUGGCUCCGGUUAGACAAACAUGGUAUUCCCAUGGUGUCUCUGUUGUUUCUGACGGAUGGACAAAUAUGAAGAACCAUCCAUUAAUCAACGUAAUAGCAUCGAAUAGCUGUGGUUCAAUGUUUCUGUACGCAGAAGACUUCUCUGGAGAAGAGAAGACGGGUGAAGCCAUUGCACAAUUCUUACUGCAAGCCAUUGAGGAGAUUGGCCCUUCCAAUGUCCUUCAGGUCAUCACUGAUAAUGCAUCUAAUUGUAGAGUUGCGGGUGAAGAAAUUGAGAAAGUGCAUAAGCAUAUAUUUUGGUCUCCAUGUGUGGUUCACACACUGAAUCUAGUAUUCAAAGAUUUUGCAAAAAAGUUUGCUUGGAUGGUUGAUACAUACCAGACUGGGAAAGCAAUUGUGAAGUUCUUUAGGAACCACCAGCACUUUCAAGAUCUCUUUAGACACAACUCCAAGUUGGAUCUUUUGAAGGUCUCAAAAACAAGAUUUUCUUCUCAUUAUAUUGUGCUUAAGAGGCUUAUGGAUGUUCGAGAGGCGCUCACAACUACCAUUGUCACAAGCAAAUGGAAGGAACUGGUGAAGGCUUGUGAUGUACAAACAAGAGCAGCAGCAAAUGCGAUUGCCCAAAAUAUCAUUGAUGAGACAUUUUGGGAUGAGAUUAAAAUCAUCCUUGACAUCACAAAACCAUUAUAUAUGGUAAUCAAGUUCAGUGACGGAGAAGGUCCAAAAUCUGGUGAUAUAUAUGAAAGAAUGGACAAUAUGCUUGGCGAGAUGCAAGAAGUCAUGACAAGGGAAGAUAACCCUCACAAAGAUGAUUGGUCGAAGGUAAAUGAAAUUAUUCUUUAUCGGUGGGGAAAGAUGAACUGGCAUUUUCAUUGCUUAGAAUUUGCUCUUUCUCCUAAGUAUUAUGAUCAAGCCUAUCUUGCAAGUCCUGCUCCUGGUGGUGGUCAAAGGAAAGCUCCAAAUGAUGACAGUGAGGUUAUAGAAGGUGUUAUAGAGGCUCUAAAUAGAAUUGCAGAAGAUAAAAAAGAGUAUGCUCUUUUACGUGAGGACUUAACACCUUUAUAA
This 1704-nucleotide ribosomal RNA is filed under the name Triticum aestivum (bread wheat). Its description in RNAcentral is "partial small subunit ribosomal RNA". Lineage: Eukaryota; Viridiplantae; Streptophyta; Magnoliopsida; Poales; Poaceae. The record is from RNAcentral.